Molecule: ribosomal RNA, 89 nt
Filed under: Enterobacter hormaechei subsp. xiangfangensis
Lineage: Bacteria; Pseudomonadati; Pseudomonadota; Gammaproteobacteria; Enterobacterales; Enterobacteriaceae
Source: RNAcentral
CGACGGACCCUUUUCGCGGUGGUCCCACCUGACCCCAUGCCGAACUCAGAAGUGAAACGCCGUAGCGCCGAUGGUAGUGUGGGGUCUCC